Molecule: ribosomal RNA, 429 nt
Filed under: Gemmatimonadota bacterium
Lineage: Bacteria; Pseudomonadati; Gemmatimonadota
Description: Gemmatimonadetes bacterium partial 16S ribosomal RNA
Rfam family: Bacterial small subunit ribosomal RNA
Source: RNAcentral
UAGGGAAUCUUCGGCAAUGGACGAAAGUCUGACCGAGCAACGCCGCGUGAGUGAAGAAGGUUUUCGGAUCGUAAAACUCUGUUGUUAGAGAAGAACAAGGACGUUAGUAACUGAACGUCCCCUGACGGUAUCUAACCAGAAAGCCACGGCUAACUACGUGCCAGCAGCCGCGGUAAUACGUAGGUGGCAAGCGUUGUCCGGAUUUAUUGGGCGUAAAGCGAGCGCAGGCGGUUUCUUAAGUCUGAUGUGAAAGCCCCCGGCUCAACCGGGGAGGGUCAGUGGAAACUGGGAGACUUGAGUGCAGAAGAGGAGAGUGGAAUUCCAUGUGUAGCGGUGAAAUGCGUAGAUAUAUGGAGGAACACCAGUGGCGAAGGCGGCUCUCUGGUCUGUAACUGACGAUGAGGCUCGAAAGCGUGGGGAGCAAACAGG